Long non-coding RNA from Brassica napus (rape), 1550 nucleotides. RefSeq lists it as uncharacterized. The record is from RefSeq and is a predicted model, not a curated record. Lineage: Eukaryota; Viridiplantae; Streptophyta; Magnoliopsida; Brassicales; Brassicaceae. The transcript is spliced from 2 exons.
UAUAAUCAUAUAUUAGUAUAAAAUUAUUUUCAAUAUGCUAUAAUGAUAACUAGAUCUUGACCCGCCCGGCUGGGCGGGUGUUUGGUUUAACUUGUAAAAUUAAUUAUUAUCAACUUAUAUCCAAUAGGAAAUUGUUGGGUUGUAUAAAGUAUGGUCCACAUUAUUCGCUAUCAUAUGAUUGUUAUUGUAUUUAAUGUAUUUGUAACACGAAAAAAUACAAAUACCUUAGUAUAUAUAUAUAUAUAUAUAUAUAUAUUUUGCAUUGUUUAUUUGAUAUUGUAACCCUAAUAUAGAAAAAUGUUAUUUUAAAUUAAUAAUUACAUAUCUAUAGUAUUAACAAAAAAUUUUUGAGAGAACUAUAUGUUUACCUAUGUAUUAUAUAUAAACUAUAAAUACCAAUAACUAUAAUAAACCAACAAAAAAUUUGGUGGCCCAAUAAAUAAUGGAGUUAUCAAAAUGGAUCAUAAUAGCAAAUUAAAUAAUGUGGCCAAUUGUAUAGUAACAGUUCUCGUUAAACCUAAAAAAUUAAGGUUUUCUCUAUCUAUCUCUCUCUCUCGGCAAGAUGAUCUUUCAUCUUCUCACCUAAAUCAUUACGAUAUCAAAUCGAAAAUUCCAUCGGUGAAGAUGGUUCUGUUUAAUCAAGAUUCAACUUGUCUUCAUAGCUUCAACCUCGUCCAUCAAUUCUGAUCUUCUUCAGAUAUGUUCUCCAUGACCAUCAAUACAGUGUUGGUUCAGACUAUCACCAAAGGUUUAUUCAUAAACAGUGACUUUAUGCAUCUGAAAAGAUCAGCCUGAUGACCAAUUAUUUAACCACAUGACCCUGAUAUGUCCACAGAGAACAGAACAGCAGCUCGAAGAUGCGCCAAGGCGAGUAUACUACAGAUCUCGAUGACGUUACAUUGCUCAAACACCUUGUACAGAAUCACAGUGGUUUUAGUGACCUAAAACCUGAAGAAUACUAUGAUUCGGCUCCGAGAUUGUGUAAGUUAACCUUCUAUAGUUUAACAAUCCAACAUUUAGACAAAGUUUGGAGCAGUUUUUUAGUUCUGAAGAUAUGUUUGAGUUCAAAUCGUCUUGCAGUUUGAUUCUUUGGGGGUUUGUCAAUAAUUAAAUUUUUACUUCUCACACUUGAUUUGAGUUCAAAUCGCAUUAGAGAUUUACAUGUGUUUUAUCCCGAGAUCUUUCAUCUACUUUGUUAUGCUUAUACAUUUAUAAUAGUUACAGGAAAUCUGAAAUGUACUAAUCUAAUUUUGUUGACUUAUUCAAAUGUUGCGUAUCAGACGUACUUAGAAUGUGAAAAUGUGACCGAAACUGAGGAAGAGAGUAUGGUGUGAGGCUUAUUAACUGGUCGGUGGCAGAGAACAAAGCGUGGAUCAAGUCUUUAGAACAAAGUGAAGGUUAGUGAUAUACGGGCUUUCUUUCCGUCAUCGUUUGUCACAUUGAUAUGUAAAUAUUAUUAGUUCAUAAAAUCAUAUAAUUUAGAAUCCGAUCAAAUUAGAGUUGAGAUUAAAGUCUGUUAUAUCAAUAGUGUUUAGGUUAUGGCUGCUUCU